AGUGGCGGACGGGUGAGUAACACGUGGGGAUCUACCUUUGGGUGAGGAAUACCGGCGAGAAAUCGCCGACAAGACCGCAUAGGUUCAGCAAUGAACAAAGUCGCAAGACGCCCGAAGAUGACCCUGCGCCCGAUUAGCUAGCUGGUGAGGUAAAGGCUUACCAGGGCGACGAUCGGUAGCUGGUCUGAGAGGACGAUCAGCCACACUGGGAUUGAGAACGGCCCAGACUCCUACGGGGGGCAGCAGUGAGGAAUUUUCGUCAAUGGGGGCAACCCUGAACGAGCAACGCCGCGUGCCGGAAGAAGGUCUUCGGAUCGUAAACGGCUUUUCGAGAGGACGAGAACGGACGGUACUUUCGGAAGAAGCCCCGGCUAACUACGUGCCAGCAGCCGCGGUAAUACGUAGGGGGCGAGCGUUGUCCGGAGUUACUGGGCGUAAAGGGCGCGCAGGCGGUCUGGUAAGUUUGGAGUGACAGUGCUCGGCUUAACUGAGCAAGGCCUUCGAAAACUGCUAGACUUGAGUACUCAAGAGGGACAUAGAAUUCCGGGUGGAGUGGUGAAAUGCGUAGAUAUCCGGAGGAAUACCAAAGGCGAA
This 594-nucleotide ribosomal RNA is filed under the name uncultured Bacillota bacterium. Its description in RNAcentral is "bacterial SSU rRNA". It matches the Rfam family "Bacterial small subunit ribosomal RNA", at positions 94 to 719 of the family's 1533-position model. The record is from RNAcentral. Lineage: Bacteria; Bacillati; Bacillota.